AUUGAACGCUGGCGGCAGGCUUAACACAUGCAAGUCGAGCGGAGAUGAGGUGCUUGCACCUUAUCUUAGCGGCGGACGGGUGAGUAAUGCUUAGGAAUCUGCCUAUUAGUGGGGGACAACAUUCCGAAAGGAAUGCUAAUACCGCACACGUCCUACGGGAGAAAGCAGGGGAUCUUCGGACCUUGCGCUAAUAGAUGAGCCUAAGUCGGAUUAGCUAGUUGGUGGGGUAAAGGCCUACCAAGGCGACGAUCUGUAGCGGGUCUGAGAGGAUGAUCCGCCAGACUGGGACUGAGACACGGCCCAGACUCCUACGGGAGGCAGCAGUGGGGAAUAUUGGACAAUGGGGGGAACCCUGAUCCAGCCAUGCCGCGUGUGUGAAGAAGGCCUUAUGGUUGUAAAGCACUUUAAGCGAGGAGGAGGCUACUGAGACUAAUACUCUUGGAUAGUGGACGUUACUCGCAGAAUAAGCACCGGCUAACUCUGUGCCAGCAGCCGCGGUAA
Molecule: ribosomal RNA, 501 nt
Filed under: uncultured bacterium
Lineage: Bacteria
Description: partial 16S ribosomal RNA
Rfam family: Bacterial small subunit ribosomal RNA
Source: RNAcentral